Molecule: ribosomal RNA, 253 nt
Filed under: uncultured bacterium
Lineage: Bacteria
Description: partial 16S ribosomal RNA
Rfam family: Bacterial small subunit ribosomal RNA
Source: RNAcentral
UACGAAGGGGGCUAGCGUUGCUCGGAAUCACUGGGCGUAAAGGGUGCGUAGGCGGGUUUUUAAGUCAGGGGUGAAAUCCUGGAGCUCAACUCCAGAACUGCCUUUGAUACUGAAGAUCUUGAGUCCGGGAGAGGUGAGUGGAACUGCGAGUGUAGAGGUGAAAUUCGUAGAUAUUCGCAGGAACACCGGUGGCGAAGGCGGCGACCUGGGUCGAUACUGACGCUGAUGCGCGAAAGCGUGGGGAGCAAACAGG